This is a long non-coding RNA of Daphnia pulicaria, 1230 nucleotides long. RefSeq lists it as uncharacterized. The record is from RefSeq and is a predicted model, not a curated record. The transcript is spliced from 3 exons. Lineage: Eukaryota; Metazoa; Arthropoda; Branchiopoda; Diplostraca; Daphniidae.
AUUAGUGUCGUCUGCUUUCGAAAGCAUGCGAAAAAGAGAUCUGUGAAAUUGAUUGGUGAUUAGUGAAUGAUAUUAUUGAUAACUAUGAUGAAACAGACAAUAAUUUUUUUGGAAACGUGGCUGCAGGAAAAAUAGCACGAGAAAUAGCAUUACAAAAAUGUGGUCGUCGUGUGAACUCUGAUGGUGGCUCUUGAUGGAGUAGCUUCAUGCAAACUCCAUGCAGCAGAUAAACAGCAUCCCAUUGGAAUUUUCCCAUUCCAAUCAUUGGAUUGGGGAAAACUACCGAUGUCGGCUGAGUUCUUCCCCUUUCUUUAAAUCCUCUAAAGGUGUCUUCGUGUACAGCCAUAUGUGUGUGUACUCACGAGAACCCUCUGUUUCCUAUUCGGUGGAUUCAACUAUUUUUCCAGAUAGAGCCCUUUUGGAUGCCUGGCUGUAUUUCCCAGGCAAAAAGAGACUCGUGAAAAGUGAGUCUAGACGUUUUCUUUUCAGAUAUGCCGAAUUGAACUCUCUCUCCUAUCCUAUCCGUACAAUAUCAAAUGCAACGGCCGUACAUGCAUCAUUAGAUUGGUAAUCACCUCGAGUUUCGAUUAUGUAACGUUUGAAUGGAAGAAAAAAGGAGAGAGUUGGGAAAUGGCGCGUAUUUCUCGAGAGGCUUUAAAAAACAAAAUGUAAAAGUCGAAAUAAGCGGAACACGCCAACAACCGACACCCCAAGCCCUGGUGAGGUUCUUAUUAUUAUACGACGAUUAUUACGAUUUCCUCGGCAGCCAGUCGAAAUGGGAGAGAAGAAGAAGAAAGAAAAAAAGUUGUUUUUGGAAGUCGAGGAAAGAAAAAAGAAAGAAAAAUAAAAAGGAGGCAGAAAUUUCCGAGCCGUUGGCCCUUUGACAACAUUUUGUGUGAGCGUUGUUCUUGUCAUUCUUUGUGAUCUUCUGUCAUCUUUCCUCGUUAAUAAGGAACGACGUGGAAAAAGGAAACGAGAAACAAGAAGGAAAUCCUCUCUCUCUCUAUCCUCCUCUUGUUUUGUUGUCCCUUUCUUUUCUUUUUCCUUUUUUUAUCUUUCCCUUAGUGUCAACUAGACUAGCGAGUGAUUUAUAGAAAGACUUCGUCAUUCGUCUCAAGUGACCCCUAUAUCCGUCAAAGGCAAAAGCCCAGGCGAAAAUGCCAGAUAUAAAUCAGCAUUGCACACAGCAGCACAAGUACCACCGGACAAUAUAUACCUACCCUCACACAC